This 392-nucleotide ribosomal RNA is filed under the name uncultured bacterium. Its description in RNAcentral is "partial 16S ribosomal RNA". It matches the Rfam family "Bacterial small subunit ribosomal RNA", at positions 523 to 918 of the family's 1533-position model. The record is from RNAcentral.
AUACGUAGGGGGCGAGCGUUGUCCGGAUUUACUGGGCGUAAAGGGUGAGUAGGCGGUUAUGUAUGUCAGGUGUAAAAGGCGUAGGCUUAACUUACGUUAGCGCUUGAAACUGCAUAACUUGAGUGCAGGAGAGGUAAGUGGAAUUCCUAGUGUAGCGGGGAAAUGCGUAGAUAUUAGGAGGAACACCAGUGGCGAAGGCGACUUACUGGACUGUAACUGACGCUGAGUCACGAAAGCGUGGGUAGCAAACAGGAUUAGAUACCCUGGUAGUCCACGCUGUAAACGAUGAGUGCUAGGUGUUGGGUAGCGAUAUUCAGUGCCGAAGUAAACACAAUAAGCACUCCGCCUGGGGAGUACGGUCGCAAGACUGAAACUCAAAGGAAUUGACGGGG